Molecule: ribosomal RNA, 254 nt
Filed under: uncultured bacterium
Lineage: Bacteria
Description: partial 16S ribosomal RNA
Rfam family: Bacterial small subunit ribosomal RNA
Source: RNAcentral
UACGAAGGGGGCUAGCGUUGUUCGGAAUCACUGGGCGUAAAGCGCACGUAGGCGGAUCGUUAAGUCGAGGGUGAAAUCCCAGGGCUCAACCCUGGAACUGCCUUCGAUACUGGCGAUCUUCGAGUCCGGGAGAGGUGAGUGGAACUCCGAGUGUAGAGGUGAAAUUCGUAGAUAUUCGGAAGAACACCAGUGGCGAAGGCGGCGAUCUGGGUGGAUACUGACGCUGAGGUGCGAAAGCGUGGGGAGCAAACAGG